Molecule: transfer RNA, 62 nt
Filed under: Desmophyllum pertusum
Lineage: Eukaryota; Metazoa; Cnidaria; Anthozoa; Scleractinia; Caryophylliidae
Description: tRNA-Thr
Source: RNAcentral
GUGGCCGAGUGGUUAGGGCGUCGGACUUGUAAUUCGGAGAUCCCGGGUUCAAGCCCUCCACA